RNAcentral lists this ribosomal RNA (483 nucleotides) under uncultured bacterium. RNAcentral's name for it is "partial 16S ribosomal RNA". It matches the Rfam family "Bacterial small subunit ribosomal RNA", at positions 30 to 507 of the family's 1533-position model. The record is from RNAcentral.
UUGCACGCUAGCGGGAUGCUUUACCCAUGCAAGUCGAACGGCAGCGCGGACUUCGGUCUGGCGGCGAGUGGCGAACGGGUGAGUAAUGUAUCGGAACGUGCCCAGUAGCGGGGGAUAACUACGCGAAAGCGUAGCUAAUACCGCAUACGCCCUACGGGGGAAAGCAGGGGAUCGUAAGACCUUGCACUAUUGGAGCGGCCGAUAUCGGAUUAGCUAGUUGGUGAGGUAACGGCUCACCAAGGCGACGAUCCGUAGCUGGUUUGAGAGGACGACCAGCCACACUGGGACUGAGACACGGCCCAGACUCCUACGGGAGGCAGCAGUGGGGAAUUUUGGACAAUGGGGGCAACCCUGAUCCAGCCAUCCCGCGUGUGCGAUGAAGGCCUUCGGGUUGUAAAGCACUUUUGGCAGGAAAGAAACGUCGCGGGCUAAUACCCCGUGGAACUGACGGUACCUGCAGAAUAAGCACCGGCUAACUACGUG